This 250-nucleotide ribosomal RNA is filed under the name uncultured bacterium. RNAcentral describes it as "partial 16S ribosomal RNA". It matches the Rfam family "Bacterial small subunit ribosomal RNA", at positions 524 to 773 of the family's 1533-position model. The record is from RNAcentral.
GACAGAGGGUGCAAACGUUGUUCGGAUUUACUGGGCGUAAAGCGCGUGUAGGCGGCUUUGCAAGUCGGAUGUGAAAUCCCACGGCUCAACCGUGGAAGUGCAUCCGAAACUGCAUCGCUGGAGUCUCGGAGAGGAAGGUGGAAUGCUUGGUGUAGAGGUGAAAUUCGUAGAUAUCAAGCAGAACACCUGCGGCGAAGGCGGCCUUCUGGACGAUGACUGACGCUGAGACGCGAAAGCGUGGGGAGCAAAC